GGGGUCGAUAUAGUUUCGACAGGAUUGUUUGCCUGGCAUUAGAUGCAGUCGAGUGAUUACGUAAUAAUCAAAAAACAAUAACUGACAACAGUUAUAUGAGAAACACAACACGUGUUUCAUACGCCGCUGCUUAGUUAGCACCUAAUUAAAGGUUCCAAUCUACAUUGAUUGGGCGACGCGCAGCCAAAUGUUUAGCCUUUAUCGUUUUGGAUCUGUGUCAAAUUAAAAGGAUAAGCUAUAGGAGCAGACUAAUUACCUAUAGUCGAAAAAACGAUAGUCUCGCAUAGUAAUAUAUCGCUAAUAUUUAUACCUAUGCUAAAUAUUAAUAUUAGAUAAACUGUAGAAGCUUUUGUAGGGUCUUUCUUGGACACGGGUGCGAUUCCCGCCGACUCCACCA
RNAcentral lists this transfer-messenger RNA (397 nucleotides) under pig gut metagenome. It matches the Rfam family "transfer-messenger RNA". Rfam says of the family: Bacterial tmRNA, also known as 10Sa RNA or SsrA, is named for its dual tRNA and mRNA-like properties. The record is from RNAcentral.